AAAGAAUACCAGGUCUGGAACCCAAAGAGCUUAUGACCCAGUUUCAAAACAGCCAAACAGUAAAACACAUUGUGUCAUAUCCUUUAUAAAGAUGCAUUCUAACUGGAAUAAGUGUGAACAUUAAAGUGAAAAAUGCAGAAAUUGAGAUUCAUGAAUAUAAAUGAGAUCUACGAAUAUUCAGUUAUCAAUAACUAAAAAAUAAUCACUCAUUAAGCUUAUUGCAUUAAACAAAAUAACAAAUCAUAAUUUACAAUGCAUUAUAAUAUCAUACAAACUCAAAAGUCAUUUGUCGGUGUGUCAGCAGUAUAAUAAACUCAUAAGGAAAUAGAAGGAUUAUCUGCUUUGCUUGCAAAACCUUCCCACCCACAAUUACAGCUAAUAACAUUUUCGGUCAAACUGACAAUUUGUUAUAGAUACUGUGGGGCAAAAGCAGUAAAUCAAAGUGUGCAAAGUGAAAGUUCAUAAUACAGUAGCUUAAUAUGUGACCCUGGUGAUGCUAUAAACAUGAGCUCUGUUCAUGCAUUGCCAUAUGAGCAGAAGGAAUUUAAAUAUACAGUUUAUUAAUACCAGUAAAAUUAAUUUAAAUGCGGUUUACAUGAGCGAUAAUUGAGUGCUGAUUGGGUUGAUUACAAUGCAUAGCCACUUUUAAGCCUUAGUAAGCUGAAAUUCACUUUUUAUGCAAACACUGUGGUAUUUUUAGGUUAAUUUCGUCAUUGUCAAGGGCCCACGUUUGCACAUAUUAUCAGAUAAAGGCUGCACAUUCGACUGUGUGCCUGCGCUAAACCAAAGUAUGCUUCUGGGUUUUCUGAGCAAGCAGCUCUCAAGGUUUUAUAACAUAAGGCAAAAGCAGCAUGUGAAAACGGAAAAUAAUGAUCAUCUCCCAUUCUGAGCAUUUAACCAGCAGUCCGUCAGUGAAGUGACAAAAGUCUGAAACAGGAAAUGCCGCCUGAUACCAGAUAGAGCACAGGGCGGAACACCGGAAGUACUGAGAAAAUCACAAUCCAUGCUGUAAUGUGCGCUUGGAGAGCCAGAUCUCAAAGAAAGAACGUGAUUGGCAGAGACACACGGGCUGCUUUCCCUCUGGUCCUCUCUUGGCUGCCACUGGGUUGUUUAACCCCUUAACUUCUGUACAUCAAAACAAACAUUAAGUGAUUUAAUAACAGAUUUACAAUUCAAAUAGUCUUUAGACAAAACGAUUAUUUUAUAAAUAUCACACAUGCCAUUUU
This is a long non-coding RNA of Cyprinus carpio carpio, 1226 nucleotides long. NCBI's taxonomy places the organism in Eukaryota, Metazoa, Chordata, Actinopteri, Cypriniformes, Cyprinidae. The record is from Ensembl.